UACGGAGGGAGCUAGCGUUGUUCGGAAUUACUGGGCGUAAAGCGCGCGUAGGCGGCUUUGUAAGUUAGAGGUGAAAGCCCGGAGCUCAACUCCGGAACUGCCUUUAAAACUGCAUCGCUUGAAUCCAGGAGAGGUGAGUGGAAUUCCGAGUGUAGAGGUGAAAUUCGUAGAUAUUCGGAAGAACACCAGUGGCGAAGGCGGCUACCUGGCCCAUUCUUGACGCUGAGGCGCGAAAGCUAGGGGAGCAAACGGG
This 253-nucleotide ribosomal RNA is filed under the name uncultured bacterium. Its description in RNAcentral is "partial 16S ribosomal RNA". It matches the Rfam family "Bacterial small subunit ribosomal RNA", at positions 524 to 776 of the family's 1533-position model. The record is from RNAcentral.